CCAUAGCAAGAACAAAGGAAGAAAAGAAAGAACAAAAACCCUAGAGUGAAAAUUCAAGAGAAAAUUGAUGGAUUUCAAGUAAUCAAGCCAUCAAAGGUAAAAUUUCUUGAUUUUGACUUGUGAUCUACCUUUCCCAUACAUUCUUUUGCAUUUUCCAUGGUUGAAUCACAUGAUUUCAUGAUGGGUAUCUUGCUGGCCGAACACUUAGAGAGAGGUUUUGAUGCUUGAUUUGGUUAGAUUUCAAUGUAUUUUAGUGUUUUUAGUUAGUUAGUGAUGUGUAGCAUGAAAAGCCAACAAGAAAAAUUCACUUCCUCCCAUCACCCAUCAUUGGCCGAAUUUUCCAUGUAGAGUGUGGAUGGUGGAUUUGAUUUUAUUUCAAGCGAAUUGGUUAGGAAAUGAUGAAUUACGGUGAGAAAAUCAAGUUGGAAAAAUCAUAGUGUUGAUGCACCCACCAUGGCCGAAAUUCCCAAGAGAAAAUGUGAAGAUGAUUUUGCUAAAUUUUAUGCUAUUUGACUUGUGUUUGAUGGUUUGGAGAAUUGGAAGAAAAAUGGAGUUAAUUGGAGUUGAAUUGGACAUAUUGGCCAAUUAAUCGAGUGAUAGAUCGAAUUAGGCCAAUACCGUUUUAUUUAGGUACACAAUUGAAUUUGUGUAGAACACCGUGUUUAGACGAUAAUCCGAACAAUUUGCAUUCCAUUUCAUGCAUCCGUAUAGUUUUAUAACAGUUUAGCACCAAUGUGGUAAAUUGUUUAAUUGUGCAUUAUGUCUAGGUGGUGAAUCCUCCGAUAAGGGCAAAGAAAUUGUACCCGAUGAUCAAUAGUCGGAGUACUCUAAAAAUUCGACUCCCGAAAUAGUGAGUAACCUUAUCAUCAUUUUAAUUAUCUAAAGUGGUCUUUUUAUUCGAUUUUGUGAAUUUUAUGGAAAAUGAGUUUAAAUGGUUAAUUUUUAGGUUUUAUAAACAAAAUGUGUUUAAAUGAAAUGAUUUUAUAAAUUGUCUUGAAAUUGAAUGAUGGCUUUGAAAAUAGAGUAAUUGGAGACCAUUUGAUGUAUUGUGAAUUUAUGGUUCUAAUUGAUUGGCUUAUGGCAAUAUUGGCAUGAAUGGCUGAAUUGGUAUUUGUGUUGAAAAUGUAUAAACUGUUGUUUGCCUUGAUAGGCUGGAUAAUGAUAAAAUUGCCAUGUCAUGCUGUUGAAUUUUAUUGAAUUGGUGGGUUAUUGAUUAGUCGCUGCAGUGGACGGGUUCCGUGGACCAGCUAUUAGAGGGGGCACGGUAACCCUAUUAUAUUCAUACCUUAGUAUGAGAGGCGCGGAUGGAUAACUCCUGAGGUUAACACUUUAGAGUUCACUUCAUGCCAAACCACCACGUGAGGGUGAACUCAGCCAACGCCAAGGAACGGCUAUGUUUUCAAAAUAAAAACAUGAUUUAUGCGUACAUAACUUUUUAACAGCCUUGGCGGACUCGGUUGGGAUAGCCCUCGGCCAAGGUAUCCCUGAUAACUGAGUAUGAGAAUGAUUUUGGCACGAGCCAAAGUUUUAAGAAAUUCAUAAGCCAUGUUGAUUACUCGAUUUAUAUGAAUUGAUUUUAUUUGGUUGAAAUGAGUUGAAAGGUGAUGAAUUACAGUAUGUUAAACUAUUUUAUCUGUCUCCAUUUACUCAGCUUUAGAUAUUUUAGAUGGUAUUUGUUUACUCACUGGGAUUAUAUAAUCUCACCACCCUCCUUUCCACCCAUUUCAGGCUCAGGAUAGUCGGUAGAUAGCUCAUUUCGUUGAGGGCUACAGUUGGACUUGCAUCCUCAAAAAUUGUAGGUUUACCGCUUUUGAUACUUUUGGUCGUUCGUGGGCCCACGUGUCACUGUAAAUUAAAUUUUAUACUUUGGUUAUCUGUAUUACAGUAUGUAUGAAUUUAUUUAGCUUUUACGCUACAAAAAUUAUUUACCGGUAACUCUAUAAAUAUUGUUUUAUAAGAAAAUAGAAUAUUUUAUUGAAUAUUUUUAUUAUAUUCAAAUAGUUAUAGUUUCACUUUAAAUGAAUGUUUUAGAUAUCUAAACUUAUUUUUGAUUAUGAAAUAUGUGUUUUCCACUCGCAUACUACAUUUUUAGCUGGUUUCGAGAUUUUUGAGAAAAAUGACCAAAAUGCCCCUGUGAGAAAAAAAUUAUUUUUCUAUUGUUUUGAUUUGGAAAUAGUUUAUAAUCUCUCAAAACAUGAUACUUAACAAUUGUUGCUCACAGGGGAGGUGCGAAAACUAAUAUUAAAGCCUUGCGAGGUUCCGGUUAGUAUUCCAAGCAAUGAAUGUCUAUCGAGACGUCGCGGCGGUUGUCACGGGCUCGAGGGGAGUAUCGGGUUGAGACAACUGAAGCGUUCAUUUUUCAAAUUAUUUGUUAUGUAUGGGUUCAUCAUUACCAAGUGAUUAAUCAUUUAAGGGUUUGAUUAGGGGUUUCUAAUAUGAAUGAAAUUAAAUUGCAUUGUUUUAAAAACAAGUGCAUCAUGAUUUUAAAUUCUUCCCUAUUGUUGCUUGUUCCCUUCCUUGUUCACUCACUGGGUUUAUACUCACUGUUUUCAACUUCAUGUUUUCAAAUCAUGAGGCAGCUAGUAACUAGGACGAGGUGUCCUUGUAGACUUGUAUCCAUCUUUUGGUAGGUGUCUCGGCAUUCAGUAGUUGUACAUUCAUCCGAGUCUCUCCGCUGGAAGUCGAGUAUUCUUUUGUUGUGUAUAGACAAACCUAAUGUAGAUUAUUAAGAUACAUGUUGUGGACAAUGUAUAUAUACUUGUUUGGUAUGCCAUAUGAGGUGGAAAUGUUUAAUUUUGUUUUGAUCCUAAGUUAUGAAAUGUAACUUAGCAGUUU
Molecule: long non-coding RNA, 2835 nt
Filed under: Theobroma cacao (cacao)
Lineage: Eukaryota; Viridiplantae; Streptophyta; Magnoliopsida; Malvales; Malvaceae
Description: long non-coding RNA (TCAC_LNC003310)
Source: RNAcentral